Molecule: ribosomal RNA, 206 nt
Filed under: uncultured bacterium
Lineage: Bacteria
Description: partial 16S ribosomal RNA
Rfam family: Bacterial small subunit ribosomal RNA
Source: RNAcentral
UACGUAGGGUGCAAGCGUUGUCCGGAAUUAUUGGGCGUAAAGAGCUCGUAGGCGGUUUGUCGCGUCUGCUGUGAAAACCUAAGGCUCAACCUUGGGCUUGCAGUGGGUACGGGCAGACUAGAGUGGCGGUAGGGGUGACUGGAAUUCCUGGUGUAGCGGUGGAAUGCGCAGAUAUCAGGAGGAACACCGAGUGGCGAAGGCAGUUC